This 541-nucleotide ribosomal RNA is filed under the name uncultured bacterium. RNAcentral describes it as "bacterial SSU rRNA". It matches the Rfam family "Bacterial small subunit ribosomal RNA", at positions 355 to 896 of the family's 1533-position model. The record is from RNAcentral.
UGAGGAAUAUUGGACAAUGGGCGGGAGCCUGAUCCAGCCAUGCCGCGUGCAGGAAGACUGCCCUAUGGGUUGUAAACUGCUUUUGUACGGGAAGAAACACCCCCUUGCGAGGGGGCUUGACGGUACCGUAAGGAUAAGGAUCGGCUAACUCUGUGCCAGCAGCCGUGGUAAUACAGAGGAUCCGAGCGUUAUCCGGAAUCAUUGGGUUUAAAGGGUCCGUAGGUGGGCCGUUAAGUCAGAGGUGAAAUCCUGCAGCUCAACUGUAGAAUUGCCUUUGAUACUGGCGGUCUUGAAUCGUUGUGAAGUGGCUGGAAUAUGUAGUGUAGCGGUGAAAUGCAUAGAUAUUACAUAGAACACCAAUUGCGAAGGCAGGUCACUAACAGCGCAUUGACACUGAUGGACGAAAGCGUGGGGAGCGAACAGGAUUAGAUACCCUGGUAGUCCACGCCGUAAACGAUGGACACUAGCUGUGGGGACUUCGGUCUCCGUGGCCAAGCGAAAGUGAUAAGUGUCCCACCUGGGGAGUACGUUCGCAAGAAUG